CUGUGAGCUCGAUGAGUAGGGCGGGACACGUGGUAUCCUGUCUGAAUAUGGGGGGACCAUCCUCCAAGGCUAAAUACUCCUGACUGACCGAUAGUGAACCAGUACCGUGAGGGAAAGGCGAAAAGAACCCCGGCGAGGGGAGUGAAAAAGAACCUGAAACCGUGUACGUACAAGCAGUGGGAGCACAGAGCAAUCUGUGUGACUGCGUACCUUUUGUAUAAUGGGUCAGCGACUUAUAUUCUGUAGCAAGGUUAACCGAAUAGGGGAGCCGAAGGGAAACCGAGUCUUAACUGGGCGUUAAGUUGCAGGGUAUAGACCCGAAACCCGGUGAUCUAGCCAUGGGCAGGUUGAAGGUUGGGUAACACUAACUGGAGGACCGAACCGACUAAUGUUGAAAAAUUAGCGGAUGACUUGUGGCUGGGGGUGAAAGGCCAAUCAAACCGGGAGAUAGCUGGUUCUCCCCGAAAGCUAUUUAGGUAGCGCCUCGUGAAUUCAUCUCCGGGGGUAGAGCACUGUUUCGGCAAGGGGGUCAUCCCGACUUACCAACCCGAUGCAAACUGCGAAUACCGGAGAAUGUUAUCACGGGAGACACACGGCGGGUGCUAACGUCCGUCGUGAAGAGGGAAACAACCCAGACCGCCAGCUAAGGUCCCAAAGUCAUGGUUAAGUGGGAAACGAUGUGGGAAGGCCCAGACAGCCAGGAUGUUGGCUUAGAAGCAGCCAUCAUUUAAAGAAAGCGUAAUAGCUCACUGGUCGAGUCGGCCUGCGCGGAAGAUGUAACGGGGCUAAACCAUGCACCGAAGCUGCGGCAGCGACGCUGAUGCGUUGUUGGGUAGGGGAGCGUUCUGUAAGCCUGUGAAGGUGUGCUGUGAGGCAUGCUGGAGGUAUCAGAAGUGCGAAUGCUGACAUAAGUAACGAUAAAGCGGGUGAAAAGCCCGCUCGCCGGAAGACCAAGGGUUCCUGUCCAACGUUAAUCGGGGCAGGGUGAGUCGACCCCUAAGGCGAGGCCGAAAGGCGUAGUCGAUGGGAAACAGGUUAAUAUUCCUGUACUUGGUGUUACUGCGAAGGGGGGACGGAGAAGGCUAUGUUGGCCGGGCGACGGUUGUCCCGGUUUAAGCGUGUAGGCUGGUUUUCCAGGCAAAUCCGGAAAAUCAAGGCUGAGGCGUGAUGACGAGGCACUACGGUGCUGAAGCAACAAAUGCCCUGCUUCCAGGAAAAGCCUCUAAGCAUCAGGUAACAUCAAAUCGUACCCCAAACCGACACAGGUGGUCAGGUAGAGAAUACCAAGGCGCUUGAGAGAACUCGGGUGAAGGAACUAGGCAAAAUGGUGCCGUAACUUCGGGAGAAGGCACGCUGAUAUGUAGGUGAAGUCCCUCGCGGAUGGAGCUGAAAUCAGUCGAAGAUACCAGCUGGCUGCAACUGUUUAUUAAAAACACAGCACUGUGCAAACACGAAAGUGGACGUAUACGGUGUGACGCCUGCCCGGUGCCGGAAGGUUAAUUGAUGGGGUCAGCGCAAGCGAAGCUCUUGAUCGAAGCCCCGGUAAACGGCGGCCGUAACUAUAACGGUCCUAAGGUAGCGAAAUUCCUUGUCGGGUAAGUUCCGACCUGCACGAAUGGCGUAAUGAUGGCCAGGCUGUCUCCACCCGAGACUCAGUGAAAUUGAACUCGCUGUGAAGAUGCAGUGUACCCGCGGCAAGACGGAAAGACCCCGUGAACCUUUACUAUAGCUUGACACUGAACAUUGAGCCUUGAUGUGUAGGAUAGGUGGGAGGCUUUGAAGUGUGGACGCCAGUCUGCAUGGAGCCG
This 1808-nucleotide ribosomal RNA is filed under the name Escherichia coli. RNAcentral's name for it is "partial 23S ribosomal RNA". It matches the Rfam family "Bacterial large subunit ribosomal RNA", at positions 397 to 2188 of the family's 2925-position model. The record is from RNAcentral. Lineage: Bacteria; Pseudomonadati; Pseudomonadota; Gammaproteobacteria; Enterobacterales; Enterobacteriaceae.